RNAcentral lists this ribosomal RNA (253 nucleotides) under uncultured bacterium. RNAcentral describes it as "partial 16S ribosomal RNA". It matches the Rfam family "Bacterial small subunit ribosomal RNA", at positions 524 to 776 of the family's 1533-position model. The record is from RNAcentral.
UACGAACUGUGCAAACGUUAUUCGGAAUCACUGGGCUUAAAGGGUGCGUAGGCGGCUUGUCAAGUAGGGUGCGAAAGCCCCCGGCUUAACCGGGGAAUUGCGCCCUAAACUGACGAGCUGGAGUGGGACAGGGGUGUGUGGAACUUCCGGUGGAGCGGUGAAAUGUGUUGAUAUCGGAAGGAACGCCGGUGGCGAAAGCGACACACUGGGUCUCAACUGACGCUGAGGCACGAAAGCCAGGGGAGCGAACGGG